UGGGGAAUAUUGGACAAUGGGCGAAAGCCUGAUCCAGCCAUGCCGCGUGUGUGAAGAAGGUCUUCGGAUUGUAAAGCACUUUAAGUUGGGAGGAAGGGCAGUAAGCGAAUACCUUGCUGUUUUGACGUUACCGACAGAAUAAGCACCGGCUAACUCUGUGCCAGCAGCCGCGGUAAUACAGAGGGUGCAAGCGUUAAUCGGAAUUACUGGGCGUAAAGCGCGCGUAGGUGGUUCGUUAAGUUGAAUGUGAAAGCGCCGGGCUCGACCUGGGAACUGCAUCCAAAACUGGCUAGCUAGAGUAGGGCAGAGGGUGGUGGAAUUUCUUGUGUAGCGGUGAAAUGCGUAGAUAUAGGAAGGAACACCAGUGGCGAAGGCGACCACCUGGACUCAUACUUACACUGAGGUGCGAAAGCGUGGGUAGCAAACAAG
Molecule: ribosomal RNA, 429 nt
Filed under: Pseudomonadota bacterium
Lineage: Bacteria; Pseudomonadati; Pseudomonadota
Description: Proteobacteria bacterium partial 16S ribosomal RNA
Rfam family: Bacterial small subunit ribosomal RNA
Source: RNAcentral